CAAGUCUGGUGCCAGCAGCCGCGGUAAUUCCAGCUCCAAUAGCGUAUAUUAAAGUUGUUGCAGUUAAAAAGCUCGUAGUUGAAUUUCGGGAUCAAUGUUUCGGUCAUGCCGUUGGUAUGUACUGAUAUUAUUGGUUUCUCACCUUCUAAAGAACCGUAAUGCCAUUAAUUUGGUGUCACGGGGAAUUAGGACUGUUACCUUGAAAAAAUUAGAGUGUUUAAAGCAGGCUCACGCUUGAAUACAUUAGCAUGGAAUAAUGAAAUAGGACAUCCGAUUCUAUUUUGUUGGUUUCUAGGAUCGAUGUAAUGAUUAAUAGGGAUAGUUGGGGGCAUUAGUAUUCAAUUGUCAGAGGUGAAAUUCUUGGAUUUAUUGAAGACUAACUACUGCGAAAGCAUUUGCCAAGGAUGUUUUCAUUAAUCAAGAACGAAAGUUAGGGGAUCGAAGACGAUCAGAUACCGUCGUAGUCUUAACCAUAAACUAUGCCGACUAGGGAUCGGAUGAUGUUAAUUUUUUAAUGACUCAUUCGGCGCC
RNAcentral lists this ribosomal RNA (531 nucleotides) under uncultured fungus. RNAcentral describes it as "SSU rRNA". It matches the Rfam family "Eukaryotic small subunit ribosomal RNA", at positions 556 to 1087 of the family's 1831-position model. Lineage: Eukaryota; Fungi. The record is from RNAcentral.